GACGAACGCUGGCGGCGUGCUUAAUACAUGCAAGUCGAACGGAGCCUAGCCGGUAGUUUACUACAGGCGAAAGCUUAGUGGCGGACGGGUGAGUAACGCGUGGGCAAUCUGCCCCUAAGUCCGGGAUAACAGAGCGAAAGUUCUGCUAAUACCGGAUACUCUUCCUUGGUCGCAUGAACUGGGAAGGAAAGGGAUACCGCUUAGGGAUGAGCCCGCGUCCCAUUAGCUAGUUGGUGAGGUAACGGCUCACCAAGGCGACGAUGGGUAGCCGGCCUGAGAGGGUGGACGGCCACACUGGGACUGAGACACGGCCCAGACUCCUACGGGAGGCAGCAGUAGGGAAUUUUCCGCAAUGGGCGAAAGCCUGACGGAGCAACGCCGCGUGAGGGAGGAAGGCCUUCGGGUCGUAAACCUUUCGUCAUCGAGGACGAUAAUGACGGUACUCGAGGAGGAAGCCCGGCUAACUACGUG
RNAcentral lists this ribosomal RNA (471 nucleotides) under uncultured bacterium. RNAcentral's name for it is "bacterial SSU rRNA". It matches the Rfam family "Bacterial small subunit ribosomal RNA", at positions 28 to 507 of the family's 1533-position model. The record is from RNAcentral.